AAAAUCAUUUGGGUAUCGACAUUACACCCAAGCCAUUAUUUUGACUUGACAUACAGUAAAAGCACUUUCUAAAAUUAUUUGCCUAUGGUUUUGAUUUACUCGUACAUGGGCUCAAGUGGAUGGAACCAGCAAUAGUGAGUGGGAAGAAUUACAUUGGAGUGAACGGAGGACCUGGUUAAAAGAAACAGCCUUCAAUGUGGCCCUUGUGACGAAGAGAUCAAGGCUCAUUACCUUCACAUUGCUUUCAUGAA
This is a long non-coding RNA of Haliotis rubra (blacklip abalone), 251 nucleotides long. RefSeq lists it as uncharacterized. NCBI's taxonomy places the organism in Eukaryota, Metazoa, Mollusca, Gastropoda, Lepetellida, Haliotidae. The transcript has 3 exons. The record is from RefSeq and is a predicted model, not a curated record.